RNAcentral lists this ribosomal RNA (442 nucleotides) under Cryphocricos hungerfordi. RNAcentral's name for it is "partial 16S ribosomal RNA". The record is from RNAcentral. Lineage: Eukaryota; Metazoa; Arthropoda; Insecta; Hemiptera; Naucoridae.
GUCCUAUUGUUAUUUAAUAUUAGGUCUAACCUGCCCAAUGAUUUUAAUUUAAUGGCCGCGGUAUUUUAACCGUGCAAAGGUAGCAUAAUCAUUUGUCUUUUAAUUUAAGGCUUGUAUGAAUGGUUUGAUGAAAUAUAUACUUUCUUUAUUUUAUUUUAAUGAAUUUAAUUUUUAAGUUAAAAAGCUUAAAUUUUUUUAUAGGACGAGAAGACCCUGUAGAACUUUAUUUAUUUUUAUUAUAUUUUAUUUGGUUUUUAUUGUUUAUUAUAUAUUUUAUUAAUAAAUUUUGUUGGGGUGACAGUGAAAUUUUUUUAACUUUCAUUUAUAAUUUAUCAUGAAUUAAUGUAUUUUUGAUCCAAUUUUGUUGAUUAUAAGAUUAAGUUACCUCAGGGAUAACAGCGUAAUUUUAUUGGAGAGUUCAUAUCGAUAAUAAAGUUUGCGA